RNAcentral lists this ribosomal RNA (323 nucleotides) under uncultured eukaryote. Its description in RNAcentral is "partial 18S ribosomal RNA". It matches the Rfam family "Eukaryotic small subunit ribosomal RNA", at positions 1470 to 1796 of the family's 1831-position model. The record is from RNAcentral.
CCCUUAGAUGUUCUGGGCCGCACGCGCGCUACACUGAUACCUGCAACGAGUUUAUAACCUUGAUCUGACGGUCUGGGUAAUCUUCAAACUGUAUCGUGUUAGGGAUCGAUUCUUGCAAUUUUUAAUCGUAAACGAGGAAUUCCUAGUAAACGCAAGUCAUCAGCUUGCAUUGAUUACGUCCCUGCCCUUUGUACACACCGCCCGUCGACUCUACCGAUUGAAUGGUUCGGUGAAAACUUUGGACUGUGGCAUUGUCCUUCAUUGGACUUCGCCGUAGGAAAUUGUUUAAACCUCAUCAUUUAGAGGAAGAAUAAGUCGUAACA